GACGAACGCUGGCGGCGUGCUUAACACAUGCAAGUCGAGCGGUAAGGCCCUUUCGGGGGUACACGAGCGGCGAACGGGUGAGUAACACGUGGGUGACCUGCCCUCAGCUCUGGGAUAAGCCUGGGAAACCGGGUCUAAUACUGGAUAUGACUCCAUGACGCAUGUUGUGGGGUGGAAAGCCUUGUGCGGCUGAGGAUGGGCCCGCGGCCUAUCAGCUUGUUGGUGGGGUGAUGGCCUACCAAGGCGACGACGGGUAGCCGGCCUGAGAGGGCGACCGGCCACACUGGGACUGAGACACGGCCCAGACUCCUACGGGAGGCAGCAGUGGGGAAUUUUUGUCAAUGGGGGAAACCCUGAACAAGCAACGCCGCGUGGAGGACGACGACC
RNAcentral lists this ribosomal RNA (387 nucleotides) under uncultured bacterium. Its description in RNAcentral is "bacterial SSU rRNA". It matches the Rfam family "Bacterial small subunit ribosomal RNA", at positions 28 to 416 of the family's 1533-position model. The record is from RNAcentral.